GGAGUUAGCCGGUGCUUCUUCUGUGAGUGAUGUCCUUCCUGCCGGCUAUUAACCCGCAGGCCUUCUUCCUCACUGAAAGUGCUUUACAACCCGAAGGCCUUCUUCACACACGCGGCAUGGCUGGAUCAGGGUUGCCCCCAUUGUCCAAUAUUCCCCACUGCUGCCUCCCGUAGGAGUCUGGGCCGUGUCUCAGUCCCAGUGUGGCUGAUCAUCCUCUCAGACCAGCUACGGAUCGUCGCCUUGGUGAGCCGUUACCUCACCAACCAGCUAAUCCGACAUAGGCUCAUCCGAUAGCGCGAGGCCCGAAGGUCCCCCGCUUUCCCCCGUAGGGCGUAUGCGGUAUUAGCCUGGGUUUCCCCAGGUUAUCCCCCACUACCGGGCAGAUUCCUAUGCAUUACUCACCCGUCCGCCGCUCGCCACCAGGGAGCAAGCUCCCCGUGCUGCCGCUAGACUUGCAUGUGUUAGGCCUGCCGCCAGCGUUCAAUCUAAGCCAGAUCAAACUCUGA
Molecule: ribosomal RNA, 506 nt
Filed under: uncultured bacterium
Lineage: Bacteria
Description: partial 16S ribosomal RNA
Source: RNAcentral